AGUCGUAGAACGUACCCUGGCUCAGCUCCAAGUGGAGAAGGAAGGGAGAAGGGAGGGACAGGGAAAGCUAUGCUACUGUUGGGCAGGAGAGGUGGAAUAUAUUAAAAACCAGGGCGUAGACUCGUGUGGAAACUGAGGAGCUUUGGAAAAGACAAAUGAGGACCUGGGAACCGAGUCAGAGAGGGUCAGGAGGGAAUGGGUUGUAAACGCCACAGUAUGUUAAAAUGCUGAUGGAAAAGGCAAUACAAAGAGGAAAAAGCUGCAGGUCUGGCAGCAUCUGUGGAGAGAGAGAAGCAGAGCUAACGUUUCGAGUCCGUAUGACCCCUGGGUUGUUGAAGCUUGCGUUACUUAACGCCCGAAAGGAAGAGAAAAAGUCUUUUGUUACAGCGUCAGAUGCGCUGAAAGAAGAACUGAAACCGUGGACCAGAGCAGUUUGAGACAGGCCAGCAACUGAUCUGAUCGAGAUGAGUCAUAUACCACCUCUGUCUCAGUGCAGACAGCAGUGGGAAAGAGACAGAGCGGUGUGAGGUACAUUCCAAAGGCUGGGACAGGAUGUGAGACCGUGUCCAUGUCUGCUUCCACUUCUUGUUUUAAAUAAUCUUCUCAGAAUUAACUGUUUCAACACAUGUUUGUGGAUUUGCAGUGCUGUGAGGUGGGAAUGUUCCACUUCCGUAAUGUAUUGAAAAUCGCAAUGUGCAUUUUGCCCACUUGAGGAUAUCAUACACACAUGUACCAGCAAAGGGAGUCUGCUGGGAAGAAAUAAAGAAGGCUCCAUGUUUAACAGCA
Long non-coding RNA from Carcharodon carcharias (great white shark), 786 nucleotides. RefSeq lists it as uncharacterized. The record is from RefSeq and is a predicted model, not a curated record. The transcript has 3 exons. NCBI's taxonomy places the organism in Eukaryota, Metazoa, Chordata, Chondrichthyes, Lamniformes, Lamnidae.